This 69-nucleotide transfer RNA is filed under the name Ctenolabrus rupestris (goldsinny wrasse). RNAcentral describes it as "tRNA-Arg". It matches the Rfam family "tRNA". Rfam says of the family: Transfer RNA (tRNA) molecules are approximately 80 nucleotides in length. Their secondary structure includes four short double-helical elements and three loops (D, anti-codon, and T loops). Further hydrogen bonds mediate the characteristic L-shaped molecular structure. tRNAs have two regions of fundamental functional importance: the anti-codon, which is responsible for specific mRNA codon recognition, and the 3' end, to which the tRNAs corresponding amino acid is attached (by aminoacyl-tRNA synthetases). tRNAs cope with the degeneracy of the genetic code in two manners: having more than one tRNA (with a specific anti-codon) for a particular amino acid; and 'wobble' base-pairing, i.e. permitting non-standard base-pairing at the 3rd anti-codon position. Lineage: Eukaryota; Metazoa; Chordata; Actinopteri; Labriformes; Labridae. The record is from RNAcentral.
AGGGAAUUAGUUUAAUAAAAACACUUGAUUUCGGCUCAAAAGCUUGUGGUUAAAGUCCAUAAUUGCCUA